RNAcentral lists this ribosomal RNA (1121 nucleotides) under Lilium sp. phytoplasma NECu1. RNAcentral describes it as "bacterial SSU rRNA". It matches the Rfam family "Bacterial small subunit ribosomal RNA", at positions 197 to 1326 of the family's 1533-position model. Lineage: Bacteria; Bacillati; Mycoplasmatota; Mollicutes; Acholeplasmatales; Acholeplasmataceae. The record is from RNAcentral.
AAAGACCUAGUAAUAGGUAUGCUUAGGGAGGAGCUUGCGUCACAUUAGUUAGUUGGUGGGGUAAAGGCCUACCAAGACUAUGAUGUGUAGCCGGGCUGAGAGGUUGAACGGCCACAUUGGGACUGAGACACGGCCCAAACUCCUACGGGAGGCAGCAGUAGGGAAUUUUCGGCAAUGGAGGAAACUCUGACCGAGCAACGCCGCGUGAACGAUGAAGUAUUUCGGUACGUAAAGUUCUUUUAUUAGGGAAGAAUAAAUGAUGGAAAAAUCAUUCUGACGGUACCUAAUGAAUAAGCCCCGGCUAACUAUGUGCCAGCAGCCGCGGUAAUACAUAGGGGGCAAGCGUUAUCCGGAAUUAUUGGGCAUAAAGGGUGCGUAGGCGGUUAAAUAAGUUUAUGGUCUAAGUGCAAUGCUCAACAUUGUGAUGCUAUAAAAACUGUUUAGCUAGAGUAAGAUAGAGGCAAGUGGAAUUCCAUGUGUAGUGGUAAAAUGCGUAAAUAUAUGGAGGAACACCAGUAGCGAAGGCGGCUUGCUGGGUCUUUACUGACGCUGAGGCACGAAAGCGUGGGGAGCAAACAGGAUUAGAUACCCUGGUAGUCCACGCCGUAAACGAUGAGUACUAAACGUUGGGUAAAACCAGUGUUGAAGUUAACACAUUAAGUACUCCGCCUGAGUAGUACGUACGCAAGUAUGAAACUUAAAGGAAUUGACGGGACUCCGCACAAGCGGUGGAUCAUGUUGUUUAAUUCGAAGGUACCCGAAAAACCUCACCAGGUCUUGACAUGCUUCUGCAAAGCUGUAGAAACACAGUGGAGGUUAUCAGUUGCACAGGUGGUGCAUGGUUGUCGUCAGCUCGUGUCGUGAGAUGUUGGGUUAAGUCCCGCAACGAGCGCAACCCUUAUUGUUAGUUACCAGCACGUAAUGGUGGGGACUUUAGCAAGACUGCCAGUGAUAAAUUGGAGGAAGGUGGGGACGACGUCAAAUCAUCAUGCCCCUUAUGACCUGGGCUACAAACGUGAUACAAUGGCUGUUACAAAGGGUAGCUGAAGCGCAAGUUUUUGGCGAAUCUCAAAAAAACAGUCUCAGUUCGGAUUGAAGUCUGCAACUCGACUUCAUGAAGU